GACGAACGCUGGCGGCGUGCCUAAUACAUGCAAGUAGAACGCUGAAGAGAGGAGCUUACUCUUCUUGGAUGAGUUGCGAACGGGUGAGUAACGCGUAGGUAACCUGCCUUGUAGCGGGGGAUAACUAUUGGAAACGAUAGCUAAUACCGCAUAACACUGGAUGACACAUGUCAUUUAUUUGAAAGGGGCAAUUGCUCCACUACAAGAUGGACCUGCGUUGUAUUAGCUAGUAGGUGAGGUAAUGGCUCACCUAGGGGACGAUACAUAGCCGACCUGAGAGGGUGAUCGGCCACCCUGGGACUGAGACACGGCCCAGACUCCUACGGGAGGCAGCAGUAGGGAAUCUUCGGCAAUGGGGGCAACCCUGACCGAGCAACGCCGCGUGAGUGAAGAAGGUUUUCGGAUCGUAAAGCUCUGUUGUAAGUCAAGAACGGGUGUGAGAGUGGAAAGUUCACACUGUGACGGUAGCUUACCAGAAAGGGACGGCUAACUACGUG
Molecule: ribosomal RNA, 497 nt
Filed under: uncultured bacterium
Lineage: Bacteria
Description: partial 16S ribosomal RNA
Rfam family: Bacterial small subunit ribosomal RNA
Source: RNAcentral